GUCUACGCCCAUACCACCCUGAAUGCGCCUGAUCUCAUCUGAUCUCGGAAGCUAGGCAGGGUCAGGCCUGGUUAGUACUUGGAUGGGAUUCCACCUUCUUUAUAUUUCCAGAACCAGCCU
Ursus americanus (American black bear) is the source of this 120-nucleotide ribosomal RNA. NCBI's taxonomy places the organism in Eukaryota, Metazoa, Chordata, Mammalia, Carnivora, Ursidae. The record is from Ensembl.